Molecule: unclassified non-coding RNA, 433 nt
Filed under: soil metagenome
Description: partial contains 5.8S ribosomal RNA, internal transcribed spacer 2, and large subunit ribosomal RNA
Rfam family: 5.8S ribosomal RNA (bases 1-120)
Source: RNAcentral
GAUGAAGAACGUAGCGAAAUGCGAUACGUAAUGUGAAUUGCAGAAUUCAGUGAAUCAUCGAAUCUUUGAACGCAUAUUGCGCUCUCUGGUAUUCCGGAGAGCAUGCUUGUUUGAGUAUCAGUAAACACCUCAACUUCCAUAUCUUUUUUGAAAUGGGAGUUGGACUUGAGUGAUCCCAACGCUUUUCCUCACCGAAAAGUGGCGGGUUACUUGAAAUGCAGGUGCAGCUGGACUUUUCUCUGAGCUAUAAGCAUAUCUAUUUAGUCUGCCUAAAAAACAGAUUAUUACCUUUGCUGCAGCUAACAUAAAGGAGAUUAGUUCUUGUGCUGACUGAUGCAGGAUUCACAAAGGCAGGCUUCGGCCGACUUUGUAAACUCGAUCUCAAAUCAAGUAAGACUACCCGCUGAACUUAAGCAUAUCAAUAAGCGGAGGA